This 75-nucleotide transfer RNA is filed under the name bacterium. Its description in RNAcentral is "tRNA-Val". It matches the Rfam family "tRNA". Rfam says of the family: Transfer RNA (tRNA) molecules are approximately 80 nucleotides in length. Their secondary structure includes four short double-helical elements and three loops (D, anti-codon, and T loops). Further hydrogen bonds mediate the characteristic L-shaped molecular structure. tRNAs have two regions of fundamental functional importance: the anti-codon, which is responsible for specific mRNA codon recognition, and the 3' end, to which the tRNAs corresponding amino acid is attached (by aminoacyl-tRNA synthetases). tRNAs cope with the degeneracy of the genetic code in two manners: having more than one tRNA (with a specific anti-codon) for a particular amino acid; and 'wobble' base-pairing, i.e. permitting non-standard base-pairing at the 3rd anti-codon position. The record is from RNAcentral.
GGGCGGUUAGCUCAGCGGUAGAGCAUUGCAUUCACAUUGCAGGGGUCACAGGUUCAAAUCCUGUACCGCCCACCA